CAGAGAGAUAAAUAGAAGGAUAGAUAAGAUAAAGCAAACAUAGCAACAAGGUGGUGAGUACAUAGCUGUUUAAUGGAUUACUCUUUCAAUUUUUCUAUUUAAAAAUAUUCAUAAUAAAAAGUCGGAGGAGUUCCUGCUGUGGCUCAGUGGCUUAAGAACCCAACAAGUAUCCAUGAGGAUAUGGGUUCGAUCUCUGGCCUCAUUCAGUGGGUUAAGGAUCAGGCAUUGCCACUAAAAAAAAGAUAGCCUUAAAUUUCCAGGGACAAAGAAAAUGUGGCACAUAUAUACAAUGGAAUAUUACUCAGCCAUAAAAAGAAUGGAAUAAUGCCAUUUGAAGCAACAUGGGUGGACCUAGAGAUUAUUUUACUAAGUGAAGUUUGUGAUAGACAACCCUCAUAUGAUAUCACGUAUAUGUGGAACCUAAGAAAAGGAUACAAAUGAACUUAUUUGCAGAGCAGAAACAGACUUACAGACUUUGAAAACAAACUUAUGGUUACCAAAGGGGACAGGUGGUCCGGAGGGGUUUGGGACUGGCAUCUGCACACAGAGGCAUAUGGAAUGAUUGGCCAGUGGGGACCUGCUGUAGAGCACAGGGAAAUCUACGCAAUAUUCUGUGAUCCUCUAUAUGGGAAAAGAAUCUGAAAGAGAAUGAAUGUGUGUAUAUGUGUAACCGAAUCAUUUUGUUGUACAGCAGAAAUUAUCGCAAACCGGUAAAUCAGCUAUACUUCAGUAAAACUUUAAAAAAUGAAAAAAAAUUUUCCAGGAACAUAACCCUUGGGCUAGUUUCUCUUCUGACAAACAUGAUUUUCUUCUUUUUUAUUAGAUAUGAAAAACAGGGAGUUCCUGUCGUGGCGCAGUGGUUAACGAAACAAUUUGAGAAACAUUGGCUUGGAGCAGUGGUUCGCACCCUAGGCUGCACAUUAUAAUGCCCCAAAGAACAUUAAAAUGUACUGAUACCUUGGUUCCAUUCUCUAAGAUUCUGAUUUGUUGGGUGAGCCACAUCCACCAGAACUCCCAAGAUAGAAAGUUACUCGCCUAGAAGAAUCUGUUGACUAAGAUGGGUUACCUGAAGUUGGCAGAUUAGACUUGGUUCUUGGUUCUCCAACUAGUCAUGUUGGAGGUAAAUUGAGAGGCUUAGACA
Molecule: long non-coding RNA, 1141 nt
Filed under: Sus scrofa (pig)
Lineage: Eukaryota; Metazoa; Chordata; Mammalia; Artiodactyla; Suidae
Description: lncRNA (ENSSSCG00015030033.1, ENSSSCG00040046842.1)
Source: RNAcentral